AAACGUGAUUUGUGGAAUAUAGCCAUGUGGAAUAUAGCCAUGUUUGAAACUCUAACUAACCAUACCUAGACGAGACAUCAAAGUUAAACGUUAGAACAGUAAAAACAACACGUCCGUGUGUACGUUCUUGGAUUUAUAUUUUAGUUGCUGACAUAUUGGAAGAUGAAUUUGGUAUUGUUUUUUGUUGCUAUCCUUGCUUUGGGAUGUCCAGUACAUUUGUUAACAUGUUACCAAUGUACUAAUAUCGAAGGGGUAUUUAGCGAAAAUAACUAUGAUUGUGUUAAGAACGUCAGCGGGGCGACAGUUGGCACUCUUGUGUGUUCCGACGAUCAAGUAUGCACAACUGGUCGUACACUAACCACUGAGGGCAAUAUCUUGAUAUAUAGAAGCUGCUUGGAUCCUGCUAACGGAAGGUGUGCAACAGUGGACUUGCCCACGCAUGGUCAGCAAGAGGUUUGUUUCGACUACUGUGACGUUUCAUAUUGCAACGACAAAUUCAGGACCAUUUAUCAGAAUGGAACCAGGCUAUUUUAAUAAUUAAAUUUGGUCAUUAUAUUAUUAUGCUUAUUAUAUUAUGUUGGUACUAUAUCCACUAUCAACCAAUUGCGACUUACACAGAGACAUUCAUUUCUUUGUAGAAUAAACACUUAAAUAUUUAAUAAUAAAGUUUUAAAAUCGGUUCUAUAUAUGUCGAUAAUAACUGGUAAUUACUAUAGUUAAAGUAAAACAAUUUAAUAUCAUACAUAGGCCUAUUUAUACGAUCAUGUGAAAUGAUAACAGCAAAUAACACCAAUACCACGCCAAACAAGAGGUAAGAACACACUGUAUAUAAACUUAUACAGAAAGACUUAAGUGUUAAAUAAACACUUAAAAAUUAGAAGAUUCCAGUGAAAACAUCGUAGCACAACGUUUUAUUUUACAAAACAAUUUGAUAAAUAACUGUUCCCUGAUAAAAUGUUGGCUAUUGUCUAAAUUUUUUGUCAAUGUUUGGCUGAUUGUCAUCCGAUUUACAAAUAAAUGAGCUUGAUAAAACAUUGUUAUGCACUCGCAGUGUUCUAUAAUCUUAGUUCAGCUCGCCGUUUGUUGAAUAGUGUUUGUGUUUUUAAUACCCAGAAAUAUUUUGGUCUCAUAAUAAACUUUUUAAAAUUUUA
Anneissia japonica is the source of this 1151-nucleotide long non-coding RNA. RefSeq lists it as uncharacterized. Lineage: Eukaryota; Metazoa; Echinodermata; Crinoidea; Comatulida; Comatulidae. The record is from RefSeq and is a predicted model, not a curated record. The transcript has 4 exons.